This 423-nucleotide ribosomal RNA is filed under the name uncultured bacterium. Its description in RNAcentral is "bacterial SSU rRNA". It matches the Rfam family "Bacterial small subunit ribosomal RNA", at positions 207 to 622 of the family's 1533-position model. The record is from RNAcentral.
AAGACCUUACGCUUUUGGAGCGGCCGAUGUCUGAUUAGCUUGUUGGUAAGGUAAAAGCUUACCAAGGCUUCGAUCAGUAGCUGGUCUGAGAGGACGGCCAGCCACACUGGGACUGAGACACGGCCCAGACUCCUACGGGAGGCAGCAGUGGGGAAUUUUGGACAAUGGGGGCAACCCUGAUCCAGCCACGCCGCGUGAGUGAAGAAGGCCUUCGGGUUGUAAAGCUCUUUCAGCCGGAACGAAACGGUUACGGUUAAUACCCGUGACUACUGACGGUACCGGAGGAAGAAGCACCGGCUAACUACGUGCCAGCAGCCGCGGUAAUACGUAGGGUGCAAGCGUUAAUCGGAAUUACUGGGCGUAAAGCGUGCGCAGGUGGUUUUGUAAGUCAGAUGUGAAAUCCCCGGGCUUAACCUGGGAACU